Molecule: ribosomal RNA, 497 nt
Filed under: uncultured bacterium
Lineage: Bacteria
Description: partial 16S ribosomal RNA
Rfam family: Bacterial small subunit ribosomal RNA
Source: RNAcentral
GAUGAACGCUGGCGGCGUGCCUAAUACAUGCAAGUCGAGCGAACAGAUAAGGAGCUUGCUCCUUUGACGUUUGCGGCGGACGGGUGAGUAACACGUGGGUAACCUACCUAUAAGACUGGAAUAAUCCCGGGAAACCGGGGCUAAUGCCGGAUAACAUUUAGAAGCGCAUGGUUCUAAAGUGAAAGAUGGUUUUGCUAUCACUUAUAGAUGGACCCGCGCCGUAUUAGCUAGUUGGUAAGGUAACGGCUUACCAAGGCAACGAUACGUAGCCGACCUGAGAGAGUGAUCGGCCACACUGGAACUGGGACGCGGUCCAGGCUCCUACGAGAGGCAGCAGUAGGGAAUCUGCCGCAAUGGGCGAAAGCCUGACGGAGCAACGCGGCGUGAGUGAUGAAGGUCUUCGGAUCGUAAAACUCUGUUAUUAGUGAAGAACAAAUUUGUAAGUAACUGUGCACGUCUUGACGGUACCUAAUCAGAAAGCCACGGCUAACUACGUG